GCGAGCGUAGCCAAGUGGUUAAGGCACCGGAUUGUGGUUCCGGCAUUCGUGGGUUCAAGUCCCAUCGUUCGCCCUA
Molecule: transfer RNA, 76 nt
Filed under: Crocosphaera subtropica ATCC 51142
Lineage: Bacteria; Bacillati; Cyanobacteriota; Cyanophyceae; Chroococcales; Aphanothecaceae
Description: tRNA-His-GTG-1-1
Rfam family: tRNA
About the family: Transfer RNA (tRNA) molecules are approximately 80 nucleotides in length. Their secondary structure includes four short double-helical elements and three loops (D, anti-codon, and T loops).
Source: RNAcentral